Molecule: long non-coding RNA, 1068 nt
Filed under: Salvia miltiorrhiza (redroot sage)
Lineage: Eukaryota; Viridiplantae; Streptophyta; Magnoliopsida; Lamiales; Lamiaceae
Description: long non-coding RNA (SMIL_LNC004867)
Source: RNAcentral
AACCAGUUCAGAUUCUUCGUUUGAAAUAAAAAUACUAUUAGUCAAAGGAACAUUAUUAUGGCAGCAAGCAUUUACCUUUUUAUGCAGUGCUCGGAGACCUUGUUGGUGAUGUGCUCGGAGAUCUCAGCCACGGCAAAACAGGGAAGUAAAGCAAUCGCUUACUUCCAGCCAAAAAUCUAAACCAAAACAGGGAAGUAAAGCAAUCACAUAGAGUUAAUUAACAAAAUCUAAACCAAAAAACUGGACAAUAUAAAUAAAAAGGUGAAUCGCAGAAGAAGGGUACCGCAGCUAUGAAUCGGAGAACAGGAUGUGGCGUUAAUAAUUCAAGCUAAUGAAUUUAUAGAUAAAAAUCUAGGGUUUAAGUUUCCUUCGAUAAAAUUCUUUCCAAAAAAAAUUCUUUCUAAAGUUUAUAACCAUUCUAUAUUUACAUAAUCUGCAGCAACCGAAAAUUAAUUAACAUAAAAAUCUAGGGUUUAAGUUUCCAUUGUUAAAAAUCUUUCCAAAAUUCUGGAAAAAAGAAGAAAAAUAAGUCAAACAUUUAAUACUUACCAUAUGGGGGAAGGGAGGUGGCAGAUCGAAUUCUGGUUUUCUGGUGGUGGGAGGGGCAGAUCGGCGGCCAUGGCUGCCGUGGUCGCCGGAAAUCGCAAAGAGGCGGUGAGGAUUUGAGGAUCUAGGGGCGCGGCGAUUCGCGGCAGGUGCUGGCGAGGCGAAUCCAUGGUUGACUAACGCAUUCAAUUUGUUUCCUGCGACAAUUCACAACUAAAGUCAUUUCCAGAAUUUCAUUAUUCUAAACGCAUUCAAUUUGUUUCCUAAAAUAAUACUUACCAUGGCUGAUGGCGGCGGGGAGGGGAAGGUCAGAGAAUCGAUGAGGGUGCUUUCAAAUAGCCGCGGCAGGGGAAGGAGAGAGUCACUUGAGGCUGGACGACGAAUCGCGGUGGGGGGAAGGAAGAACUGGCGAAGCAGAUCAUGGCGGUGGGAGGGGCGGGGCGCGGUGGGGCAGAUCGCUGCGGGGGCCAGGCACGGUGGGUGGAGGGAAGGAGACGGCGAGGCAGAUCGCGGAGGUGGGCG